CGCGCAGGUGGUUGAUUAAGUCUGAUGUGAAAGCCCACGGCUUAACCGUGGAGGGUCAUUGGAAACUGGUCAACUUGAGUGCAGAAGAGGGAAGUGGAAUUCCAUGUGUAGCGGUGAAAUGCGUAGAGAUAUGGAGGAACACCAGUGGCGAAGGCGGCUUCCUGGUCUGUAACUGACACUGAGGCGCGAAAGCGUGGGGAGCAAACA
RNAcentral lists this ribosomal RNA (207 nucleotides) under uncultured bacterium. RNAcentral's name for it is "partial 16S ribosomal RNA". It matches the Rfam family "Bacterial small subunit ribosomal RNA", at positions 568 to 774 of the family's 1533-position model. The record is from RNAcentral. RNAcentral also lists the same sequence under 1 other name.